UGGGGAAUAUUGGACAAUGGGCGGAAGCCUGAUCCAGCAACGCCGCGUGAGGGAUGACGGCCUUCGGGUUGUAAACCUCUUUCAGUACCGACGAAGCGGAAGUGACGGUAGGUACAGAAGAAGCACCGGCCAACUACGUGCCAGCAGCCGCGGUAAUACGUAGGGUGCGAGCGUUGUCCGGAAUUAUUGGGCGUAAAGGGCUCGUAGGCGGUUUGUCGCGUCGGGAGUGAAAACACUGGGCUUAACUCAGUGCUUGCUUCCGAUACGGGCAGACUAGAGGCAUGCAGGGGAGAACGGAAUUCCUGGUGUAGCGGUGAAAUGCGCAGAUAUCAGGAGGAACACCGGUGGCGAAGGCGGUUCUCUGGGCAUGUCCUGACGCUGAGGAGCGAAAGUGUGGGGAGCGAACAGGAUUAGAUACCCUGGUAGUCCACACCGUAAACGUUGGGCGCUAGGUGUGGGGCCUAUUCCAUGGGUUCCGUGCCGCAGCUAACGCAUUAAGCGCCCCGCCUGGGGAGUACGGCCGCAAGCUAAAACUCAAAUGAAUUGACGGGGUCAUAGCUGUUUCCU
Molecule: ribosomal RNA, 567 nt
Filed under: uncultured bacterium
Lineage: Bacteria
Description: partial 16S ribosomal RNA
Rfam family: Bacterial small subunit ribosomal RNA
Source: RNAcentral